This 876-nucleotide ribosomal RNA is filed under the name uncultured bacterium. Its description in RNAcentral is "bacterial SSU rRNA". It matches the Rfam family "Bacterial small subunit ribosomal RNA", at positions 28 to 896 of the family's 1533-position model. The record is from RNAcentral.
GAUGAACGCUAGCGAUAGGCCUAACACAUGCAAGUCGAGGGGCAGCACGGGAGUAGCAAUACAACUGGUGGCGACCGGCGCACGGGUGAGUAACGCGUAUGUAAUCUACCUACAACAGGGGGAUAACCCGGAGAAAUCCGGACUAAUACCGCAUAAAACAGGGGUCCCGCCUGGGACUAUUUGUUAAAGAUUUAUCGGUUGUAGAUGAGCAUGCGUUCCAUUAGAUAGUUGGUAAGGUAACGGCUUACCAAGUCAGCGAUGGAUAGGGGAACUGAGAGGUUUGUCCCCCACACUGGAACUGAGACACGGACCAGACUCCUACGGGAGGCAGCAGUGAGGAAUAUUGGUCAAUGGGCGAGAGCCUGAACCAGCCAAAUCGCGUGAAGGAAGACUGCCUUAUGGGUUGUAAACUUCUUUUACAGGGGAAUAAAAAGACAUACGAGUAUGUCAUUGCAUGUACCCUGUGAAUAAGCAUCGGCUAACUCCGUGCCAGCAGCCGCGGUAAUACGGAGGAUGCGAGCGUUAUCCGGAUUUAUUGGGUUUAAAGGGUGCGCAGGCGGGAUUUUAAGUCAGCGGUGAAAUACCAACGCUCAACGUUGGAACUGCCGUUGAAACUGGGAUUCUUGAGUAUAGAUGAAGUAGGCGGAAUUCGUUGUGUAGCGGUGACAUGCAUAGAUAUAACGAGGAACUCCGAUUGCGUAGGCAGCUUACUAAACUAUAACUGACGCUCAAGCACGAAAGCGUGGGGAUCAAACAGGAUUAGAUACCCUGGUAGUCCACGCCGUAAACGAUGAUUACUAGUUGUAUGCGAUAUGAUAGUAUGUGACUAAGCGAAAGCGAUAAGUAAUCCACCUGGGGGGUACGCCGGCAACGGUG